UAGCGUAUAUUAAUCUGUUGCAGUUAAAGCGUCCGUAGUUUAAAUUCAUUGUGUGUAUUUUAGGUAAGUGAUCAGUUUCUGAUCCUGCCGGAAUUCGCGCAAGUUCUCGUCAUGAGGACAUUGUUACCUUGAGUUUAUGGAAUCGUUCAAAACAGACAAGAGUCUGCACCGCUCAGCAUGGAAUAACAGAAACGAUGUUUACUGACUACUGUGGGUCAGUAAAUUUAUGGUUGAUAGGGACAGUCGGGGGCAUUUGUACCUGCUGGAGAGAGGUGAAAUUCCAAGACCCAGCAGUGACAAACAUAUGCGAAGGCAUCUUCCCAGAAUGUACCCAUUGAUCAAGGACGAAAGUUGGGGGAUCGAAGACGAUUAGAUACCGUCGUAGUCUCAACCGUAAACUAUGCCGACCGUAUUUUGGUGGAGUUAACUAAAUUCUCUAUCAGAGUUACCAGAGAAAUCAAAGUCUUUGGGCCCUGGGGGGAGUAUGGUCGCAAGGCUGAAACUUAAAGGAAUUGACGGAAGGGCACCACCAGGAGUGGAGCUUGCGGCUUAAUUCGACUCAACGCGGGAAACCUUACCAGGCCCGGACGUAGUGAUGAUUGACGAGUGACGAGAUUUUUCUUGAUUCUAUGGGUGGUGGUGCAUGGCCGUUCUUAGUCGGUGAGGUGACUUGUCUGGUUAAUUCCGAUAACGGACGAGAUCUCGACUUAUCAAAUAAAUGUCAGAUGAUUAUCUAAACAAUUUUUUGAUUGGACAACGGGUAUUCAAUCCGAGGAAGUUCGAGCCUAUAACAGGUCUGUGAUGCCCUUAGAUAGCCUGGGCUGCACGUGUGCUACAUUGAGUUAAGCAACAAGCUGCGGCAUGUAGACAUGCAGCGGAUCAUGCAAAUUAACUCGUCCUUGGGAUUGGCGAUUGCAAUUAUUCGCCAUAAACGUGGAAUUCCUAGUACGUGCA
This 954-nucleotide ribosomal RNA is filed under the name Gregarina sp. Hoengseong. RNAcentral's name for it is "bacterial SSU rRNA". It matches the Rfam family "Eukaryotic small subunit ribosomal RNA", at positions 595 to 1625 of the family's 1831-position model. Lineage: Eukaryota; Apicomplexa; Conoidasida; Eugregarinorida; Gregarinidae. The record is from RNAcentral.